This 423-nucleotide ribosomal RNA is filed under the name uncultured bacterium. RNAcentral's name for it is "bacterial SSU rRNA". It matches the Rfam family "Bacterial small subunit ribosomal RNA", at positions 29 to 490 of the family's 1533-position model. The record is from RNAcentral.
AACGAACGCUGGCGGCAUGCCUAACACAUGCAAGUCGAACGGGAUCCUAGCUUGCUAGGUGAGAGUGGCGGACGGGUGAGUAACACGUGGGAAUCUGCCUUUUGGUUCGGGAUAACCGCGGGAAACUGCGGCUAAUACCGAAUGCCCUCGAGAGAGGAAAGAUUUAUCGCCAGAAGAGGAGCCCGCGUCCGAUUAGGUAGUUGGUGGGGUAAAGGCCUACCAAGCCGACGAUCGGUAGCUGGUCUGAGAGGAUGAUCAGCCACACUGGGACUGAGAUACGGCCCAGACUCCUACGGGAGGCAGCAGUGGGGAAUAUUGGACAAUGGGGGCAACCCUGAUCCAGCAAUGCCGCGUGAGUGAUGAAGGCCUUAGGGUUGUAAAGCUCUUUUGCCAGGGAGAUGAUGACUGUACCUGGAGAAUAAG